This 368-nucleotide RNase P RNA is filed under the name Candidatus Latescibacterota bacterium. Its description in RNAcentral is "RNase P RNA component class A". It matches the Rfam family "Bacterial RNase P class A". From Rfam's summary of the family: Ribonuclease P (RNase P) is a ubiquitous endoribonuclease, found in archaea, bacteria and eukarya as well as chloroplasts and mitochondria. The record is from RNAcentral. Lineage: Bacteria; Pseudomonadati; Candidatus Latescibacterota.
UGAGUAGACCAGACGGUCGCGGGCGGCUCGAAGCCGUCCGAGGAAAGUCCGAGCUCCUCGGGGUAGGGUGCUGGGUAACACCCAGUGGAAGCGAUUCCAAGGAAAGUGCCGCAGAAAGCAUACCGCCAAAGCCGCGAAUGAGCGGACGGCAAGGGUGAAACGGUGAGGUAAGAGCUCACCAGUGCCGCUGGUGACAGCGGCAGCUUGGCAAACCCCACCCGGAGCAAGACCAAAUAGGAGGGGAGAAGCUACCCCGCUUCGCUCGACCCUCGGGUUGGUCGCUCGAGGUGUCCGGUAACGGGCAUCCUAGAUAAAUGACCGUCACCUGCUCUGCAGGAACAGAACUCGGCUUACGGUCUGCUCAGCCC